AUGCCUUUCUCGGCCUCUUGGCUAAAAUCAAGUGUAGUAUCUGUUCUUAUCAGUUUAAUAUCUGAUACGUGUAUCUACGGGUUCAUGAGAUAUUAAGUUAUUUUUUUUGUGGGGAGAAUUUAUCUGUGUAGCUCGCUACAUGGAUGGUUUUCAUGUGCCGGUCAAGUGUUGCACUAUUGCUUGGAACCGGCACACCCCAA
This 200-nucleotide small nuclear RNA is filed under the name Triticum aestivum (bread wheat). Its description in RNAcentral is "snRNA U2". It matches the Rfam family "U2 spliceosomal RNA". Rfam says of the family: U2 is a small nuclear RNA (snRNA) component of the spliceosome (involved in pre-mRNA splicing). Complementary binding between U2 snRNA (in an area lying towards the 5' end but 3' to hairpin I) and the branchpoint sequence (BPS) of the intron results the bulging out of an unpaired adenosine, on the BPS, which initiates a nucleophilic attack at the intronic 5' splice site, thus starting the first of two transesterification reactions that mediate splicing. The record is from Rfam by way of RNAcentral. Lineage: Eukaryota; Viridiplantae; Streptophyta; Magnoliopsida; Poales; Poaceae.